UCAAAUUUGAAAUCUGGCUCUCGGGCCCGAGUUGUAAUUUGUAGAGGAUGCUUUUGAUGCGGUGCCUUCCGAGUUCCCUGGAACGGGACGCCAUAGAGGGUGAGAGCCCCGUCUGGUUGGAUGCCAAAUCUCUGUAAAGCUCCUUCGACGAGUCGAGUAGUUUGGGAAUGCUGCUCUAAAUGGGAGGUAUAUGUCUUCUAAAGCUAAAUACCGGCCAGAGACCGAUAGCGCACAAGUAGAGUGAUCGAAAGAUGAAAAGCACUUUGAAAAGAGAGUUAAAAAGUACGUGAAAUUGUUGAAAGGGAAGCGUUUAUGACCAGACUUGGGCUUGGUUAAUCAUCUGGGGUUCUCCCCAGUGCACUUUUCCAGUCCAGGCCAGCAUCAGUUUUCGCCGGGGGAUAAAGGCUUCGGGAAUGUGGCUCUCUCCGGGGAGUGUUAUAGCCCGUUGCGUAAUACCCUGGCGGGGACUGAGGUUCGCGCAUCUGCAAGGAUGCUGGCGUAAUGGUCAUCAACGACCCGUCUUGAACCACGGACCA
Molecule: ribosomal RNA, 536 nt
Filed under: Fusarium incarnatum
Lineage: Eukaryota; Fungi; Ascomycota; Sordariomycetes; Hypocreales; Nectriaceae
Description: eukaryotic LSU rRNA
Rfam family: Eukaryotic large subunit ribosomal RNA
Source: RNAcentral